This 486-nucleotide ribosomal RNA is filed under the name Alternaria solani. RNAcentral's name for it is "SSU rRNA". It matches the Rfam family "Bacterial small subunit ribosomal RNA", at positions 417 to 902 of the family's 1533-position model. Lineage: Eukaryota; Fungi; Ascomycota; Dothideomycetes; Pleosporales; Pleosporaceae. The record is from RNAcentral.
UAGGUCUUAUAAAGUUCUGGAUAAAGCUUAUUAUGAAAACUUUAUAUCCAUAGGUCUCGACCAAAUCUUGUGCCAGCAGUCGCGGUAAGACAAGGGAGACGAGUGUUAUUCAUCUUUAACAGGUAUAUAGGGUACCUAGACGGUGUGCAAUGGCUUAAAUAAGUACCUGGUACACUUGAGUUUGAUAUGUGAGAGGAAUAUGUCGGAAUUGUUGGAGGAAAGAUGAAAUUUGUUAAUACCAAUAGGACUGAUAACGGCGAAGGCAAACCUCUAUGUACAUGUACUUGCUAUUUCUGUUUUUAUUAUAGCAAAAUAGCAAUGUACUAUAACUGACGUUGAGGGACGAAGGCUCAGAGAGUGAAGAGGAUUAGAUACCCCCGUAACCUGGGCAGACAAUGAUGAGUGCCAUAGGUUGGCUUUAAGGCGGAACUAUAAAUGAAAGUGGAAGCACUCCACCUCAAGAGUAAUGUGGCAACGCAGGAACUG